GUCGUGCGCCGACACCACUUCGUGUUCGUGGCUGUAGACUCUCUGCGCCGGCCUGUGCCUGUUUCCACGGCCACCGGUCACCCUCUUCCCGAGGAGCUAGCUAGCUAGGGCUGUCCUGAUCCAUUUGCAGCUCGCAGCCGCCUUGGCUCAAACCACUGCACCAUGCCAUGCCAGGUCCAGUUCACCUGCAAUCACACUCUCUAUCAGAGCUUCACAUCGAGAUCGAUCCGUGCGUAGAAAUUCAGCUCUGCUUACCGCCGUCCACUUGCGUGAAUUGCUUGCUCGUAGGCGCGCGGAAGUCCGGAGAGUACGUCCGGAUAAUAAUCUUUCCUCUCGCUGUAAAGCUAGUUUGUACAGAGUGUGGACGGCGGUUAGUCCAGAUCGAAACGAAAGUUAAGCAAAAUGGGAUUGCAUUUUUCUAGUAAAGUUUACUAAAAAAAGUAUAUUAAUCUGUAUUCUUUUAAUAAAAUUUUAGUACAGAAAAGAUUAAAUUAUUUGAUUUUUUUUUUAAAAAAAAACAAAAUAAAAACUGUAUUGUUUUAUGGACGUAGGAGGAGCUAGCACCUAGCAGCAGCCAAGUCGUUCACGUAGUUUAAAAAAAACAAAAGAAAAGUCUUUGACGUACGUUGUUUGAGAAUCUCAGUCAGAUGUGGCACAGUAGUGCCAUUUCAGAUCCCCUGUGGAUGCUUUUGCGAGCUUUCCCUGUCACACCAUUUCCAUUUGGUUGCAU
This 730-nucleotide long non-coding RNA is filed under the name Zea mays. RNAcentral describes it as "long non-coding RNA (ZMAY_LNC000099)". Lineage: Eukaryota; Viridiplantae; Streptophyta; Magnoliopsida; Poales; Poaceae. The record is from RNAcentral.